Molecule: long non-coding RNA, 345 nt
Filed under: Elaeis guineensis (African oil palm)
Lineage: Eukaryota; Viridiplantae; Streptophyta; Magnoliopsida; Arecales; Arecaceae
Description: long non-coding RNA (EGUI_LNC074817)
Source: RNAcentral
GAUUACUGCGAUCAUCUACAGGAUAAUCUAGUAACCUUAGAGGUAUUUUUUUAUUUCUCAUGAUUUUAGAUUUAAUUUUAUAUUUAAUAUCAGAUAAUAAGAAUUAGAUCUAAUAGAUUUUAGAUCUGAAAUAAUCAUAGAAUAUUUUUUUUGUAAUAUUCCACCCCAGAUUUGAUUAGAUCUGGAAGAUCCUACAAGGAAAAAGCCAGUUUUUUCCUUCAUUUAUAAGCUUAAUUACUUAUUCCAAAUCUAAUUCUUUUGUUGUUUGAUCUCAUAGAUUCAAUUCUAUCUGAUAGUGAGAUAUAUAAUGAUCUCUAUCAUUAUAUUAUUGAAACUCUUUUCAAU